GUUUUUGGUGUUCAGUCCGUUCUGACCGUCGGCGCGUUGCUUCUAGUUCAUAGUGCUUUUUCUGCUCGGAGCUACUACAGAAAAAUCGGCCAGCCUUCUAACCUCCCGAGCGAACUGGUCUUCGAAGUGCUAUGCUCUCUACUCGUCUGCAUCGUUUGCAUUAUAUCGAUCAUAGAUGAACCUCAGCCAGCCAAGUUGGCCAAAAUCGCCGCAUCUAAAAGUUGGGACGCCGUCCUAUCUAGACCAAAUUUCUCUACGUUCUAUCGCGGAAUGUCUUCCCAUUCGUCAUCGCACCAAAGCGACCAUUAAACCGCUAGCACAUUCUCCUCUCUUCCAAAGGCCUUCGCCAAUUCGCAAGACCUAUCUCUCAUGUCGAGUGAGACAAUCUAAUUGACCUGUGG
Schistocerca gregaria is the source of this 401-nucleotide long non-coding RNA. RefSeq lists it as uncharacterized. Lineage: Eukaryota; Metazoa; Arthropoda; Insecta; Orthoptera; Acrididae. The transcript has 4 exons. The record is from RefSeq and is a predicted model, not a curated record.